RNAcentral lists this long non-coding RNA (252 nucleotides) under Eutrema salsugineum. Its description in RNAcentral is "long non-coding RNA (ESAL_LNC001912)". The record is from RNAcentral. Lineage: Eukaryota; Viridiplantae; Streptophyta; Magnoliopsida; Brassicales; Brassicaceae.
CCAAAUUACAACUCAACUACAGCGAUCAAAGAAUAGACAAUCAAAUAUAAAAUCUAUACAAAAGUCGAACAAUAUAUGCAUAAAAACGUCGCAAUACAACUCUAAUGUCGACGAUUACUCAUCCAAAUUCCAAAUUUAUCGAUUACACCAAAAAUUCCCAAUUUAAUCUUCAAACCCAAACCCUAAUUUCAAAGAGAUGAAUAAUAACAAGGGAAAACAGACUAACCUUGACGAAUCCAUGCCGGAAUCUUC